GGAGUCGGCCAGACAGUCGCGUCAUUCGCAAGAAUGCCGAGGAAAGUCCGGGCUCCACAGGGCACGGUGCCAGGUAACGCCUGGGCGGCGCGAGCCGACGGAAAGUGCAACAGAAAGAUACCGCCGAUGGCUCUUCGGAGAUCAGGCAAGGGUGAAAUGGUGCGGUAAGAGCGCACCGCGAGUCUGGCAACAGACCGGCACGGCAAACCCCACCGGGAGCAAGACCAAAUAGGGACCUCAUGACGCGGCCCGCGUCGGGUCCGGGUAGGUUGCUCGAGCGUAACGGCGACGUUGCGCCUAGAGGAAUGACUGU
Molecule: RNase P RNA, 313 nt
Filed under: Lysobacteraceae bacterium
Lineage: Bacteria; Pseudomonadati; Pseudomonadota; Gammaproteobacteria; Lysobacterales; Lysobacteraceae
Description: Xanthomonadaceae bacterium partial RNase P RNA component class A
Rfam family: Bacterial RNase P class A
About the family: Ribonuclease P (RNase P) is a ubiquitous endoribonuclease, found in archaea, bacteria and eukarya as well as chloroplasts and mitochondria. Its best characterised activity is the generation of mature 5'-ends of tRNAs by cleaving the 5'-leader elements of precursor-tRNAs. Cellular RNase Ps are ribonucleoproteins.
Source: RNAcentral